CCCUUAGAUGUCCUGGGCCGCACGCGCGCUACACUGAUGCAUUCAACGAGUUUUACCUUGGCCGAGAGGCCUGGGCAAUCUUUUAAACCUGCAUCGUGAUAGGGAUAGAUUAUUGCAAUUAUUAAUCUUGAACGAGGAAUUCCUAGUAAACGCAAAUCAUCAAUUUGCAUUGAUUACGUCCCUGCCCUUUGUACACACCGCCCGUCGCACCUACCGAUUGAAUGGUCCGGCGAAGCCUCGGGAUUGUGGCCAGUUCACUUUAUUGGGAGUUGGCUGUGAGAACUUGUCUAAACCUUAUCAUUUAGAGGAAGGUGAAGUCGUAACA
This 325-nucleotide ribosomal RNA is filed under the name uncultured eukaryote. RNAcentral describes it as "partial 18S ribosomal RNA". It matches the Rfam family "Eukaryotic small subunit ribosomal RNA", at positions 1470 to 1796 of the family's 1831-position model. The record is from RNAcentral.